This 79-nucleotide ribosomal RNA is filed under the name Ailuropoda melanoleuca (giant panda). The record is from RNAcentral. Lineage: Eukaryota; Metazoa; Chordata; Mammalia; Carnivora; Ursidae.
CCAUGCCACUCUGAACACACCGGAUCUUGUCUGACCUCAGAAGCUAAGCAGGGUCAGACCUGGUUAGCUUGGAUGGGAG